RNAcentral lists this long non-coding RNA (239 nucleotides) under Malus domestica (apple). Its description in RNAcentral is "long non-coding RNA (MDOM_LNC007421)". The record is from RNAcentral. Lineage: Eukaryota; Viridiplantae; Streptophyta; Magnoliopsida; Rosales; Rosaceae.
AUGACAUCAUAAUAGAGAUACAAUCAAAGAUCAUUACGUUUAAUGAAAAUCAUAAGCAUUGACAAAGCACUUACAACUAUGACAUCAUGUUACUCAUGCUAGAAUUAAACUUAACGCGAUCGUUUAUAAGUGACCUCUACUACUUAUGAAUAUAAGUUUGUAACGAUUAUGUGAAACUUUCUUAUAUUCUAGCAUCAGAUUUAUGCAUGCCAAUUAAGUGUCGACCCUUAAUCAACAAA